CCUACGGGGCGCAGCAGUGGGGAAUAUUGGACAAUGGGCGAAAGCUUGAUCCAGCCAUGCCGCGUGUGUGAAGAAGGCCUUCGGGUUGUAAAGCACUUUCAGUGGGGAAGAAAGCCUUGGGGCUAAUACCCUCGAGGAAGGACAUCACCCACAGAAGAAGCACCGGCUAACUCCGUGCCAGCAGCCGCGGUAAUACGGAGGGUGCGAGCGUUAAUCGGAAUUACUGGGCGUAAAGCGCGCGUAGGCGGUCUGAUAAGCCGGUUGUGAAAGCCCCGGGCUCAACCUGGGAACGGCAUCCGGAACUGUCAGGCUAGAGUGCAGGAGAGGAAGGUAGAAUUCCCGGUGUAGCGGUGAAAUGCGUAGAGAUCGGGAGGAAUACCAGUGGCGAAGGCGGCCUUCUGGACUGACACUGACGCUGAGGUGCGAAAGCGUGGGUAGCAAACAGGAUUAGAUACCCGAGUAGUC
RNAcentral lists this ribosomal RNA (465 nucleotides) under Vreelandella stevensii. RNAcentral describes it as "partial 16S ribosomal RNA". It matches the Rfam family "Bacterial small subunit ribosomal RNA", at positions 338 to 795 of the family's 1533-position model. Lineage: Bacteria; Pseudomonadati; Pseudomonadota; Gammaproteobacteria; Oceanospirillales; Halomonadaceae. The record is from RNAcentral.